CUUGGUCAUUUAGAGGAAGUAAAAGUCGUAACAAGGUCUCCGUUGGUGAACCAGCGGAGGGAUCAUUACCGAGUUUACAACUCCCAAACCCAAUGUGAACGUUACCAAACUGUUGCCUCGGCGGGAUCUUCUGCCCCGGGUGCGUCGCAGCCCCGGACCAAGGCGCCCGCCGGAGGAAUCAACCAAAACUCUUAUUGUAUACCCCCUCGCGGGUUUUUUUUAUAAUCUGAGCCUUCUCGGCGCCUCUCGUAGGCGUUUCGAAAAUGAAUCAAAACUUUCAACAACGGAUCUCUUGGUUCUGGCAUCGAUGAAGAACGCAGCGAAAUGCGAUAAGUAAUGUGAAUUGCAGGAUUCAGUGAAUCAUCGAAUCUUUGAACGCACAUUGCGCCCGCCAGUAUUCUGGCGGGCAUGCCUGUCCGAGCGUCAUUUCAACCCUCGAACCCCUCCGGGGGGUCGGCGUUGGGGAUCGGCCUUCCUUCACGGGGGCCGUCUCCGAAAUACAGUGGCGGUCUCGCCGCAGCCUCUCCUGCGCAGUAGUUUGCACACUCGCAUCGGGAGCGCGGCGCGUCCACAGCCGUUAAACACCCAACUUUCUGAAAUGUUGACCUCGGAUCAGGUAGGAAUACCCGCUGAACUUAAGCAUAUCAAUAAGCGGAGGA
This 659-nucleotide ribosomal RNA is filed under the name Trichoderma velutinum. Its description in RNAcentral is "eukaryotic LSU rRNA". The stretch from base 273 to 426 matches the Rfam family "5.8S ribosomal RNA". The record is from RNAcentral. Lineage: Eukaryota; Fungi; Ascomycota; Sordariomycetes; Hypocreales; Hypocreaceae.